This 500-nucleotide ribosomal RNA is filed under the name uncultured bacterium. RNAcentral's name for it is "bacterial SSU rRNA". It matches the Rfam family "Bacterial small subunit ribosomal RNA", at positions 901 to 1398 of the family's 1533-position model. The record is from RNAcentral.
UCAAAGGAAUUGACGGGGGCCCGCACAAGCGGUGGAGCAUGUGGUUCAAUUCGAAGCAACGCGAAGAACCUUACCAGCCCUUGACAUCCCGGUCGCGGGAACGAGAGAUCGAUCCCUUCAGUUCGGCUGGACCGGAAACAGGUGCUGCAUGGCUGUCGUCAGCUCGUGUCGUGAGAUGUUGGGUUAAGUCCCGCAACGAGCGCAACCCUCGCCCUUAGUUGCCAUCAUUCAGUUGGGCCCUCUAAGGGGACUGCCGGUGAUAAGCCGCGAGGAAGGUGGGGAUGACGUCAAGUCCUCAUGGCCCUUACGGGCUGGGCUACACACGUGCUACAAUGGCGGUGACAAAGGGAUGCAAGGGGGCAACCCUGCGCAAAUCUCAAAAAGCCGUCUCAGUUCGGAUUGCACUCUGCAACUCGAGUGCAUGAAGUUGGAAUCGCUAGUAAUCGCAGAUCAGCACGCUGCGGUGAAUACGUUCCCGGGCCUUGUACACACCGCCCGUC